GGGCUGGGGCUCAGUGGUAGAGCACUGACCUGGCAUGUGUGAGGCCCUGGGUUCAAUUCUCAGCACCACA
This 70-nucleotide transfer RNA is filed under the name Marmota monax (woodchuck). RNAcentral's name for it is "tRNA.Ala". The stretch from base 5 to 65 matches the Rfam family "tRNA", at positions 6 to 65 of the family's 71-position model. Rfam says of the family: Transfer RNA (tRNA) molecules are approximately 80 nucleotides in length. Their secondary structure includes four short double-helical elements and three loops (D, anti-codon, and T loops). The record is from RNAcentral. Lineage: Eukaryota; Metazoa; Chordata; Mammalia; Rodentia; Sciuridae.